Molecule: long non-coding RNA, 447 nt
Filed under: Trifolium pratense (red clover)
Lineage: Eukaryota; Viridiplantae; Streptophyta; Magnoliopsida; Fabales; Fabaceae
Description: long non-coding RNA (TPRA_LNC008535)
Source: RNAcentral
GAAUGAAGUGAUCGAGAAUAAAGCAGAUAACUCUUCUGAAGAUAAGAAUGAAGCGGUCGAGGAUGAAGUAGUUAACUCUUCUGAAGAUAAGAAUGAAGCGGUUGAGAAUAAAGCAGUUGAUAAGGAUGAAGUGAUUGAGAAUAAAGCAGAUAACUCUUCUGAAGAUAAGAAUGAAGCAGUCGAGGAUGAAGUAGUUAACUCUUCUGAAGAUAAGAAUGAAGAGGUUGAGAAUGAAGCAAUUGAGAAGAAUGAAGUGAUCGAGAAUAAAGCAGAUAACUCUUCUGAAGAUAAGAAUGAAGCAGUCGAGGAUGAAGUAGUUAACUCUUCUGAAGAUAAGAAUGAAGCCGUUGAGAAUGAAGCAAUUGAGAAGAAUGAAGUGAUCGAGAAUAAAGCAGAUAACUCUUCUGAAGAUAAGAAUGAAGCAGUCGAGGAUGAAGUCGUUAACUC